This 58-nucleotide transfer RNA is filed under the name Hydatigera krepkogorski. RNAcentral describes it as "tRNA-Cys". Lineage: Eukaryota; Metazoa; Platyhelminthes; Cestoda; Cyclophyllidea; Taeniidae. The record is from RNAcentral.
GAGUGUAAAAGAAAUUAGUUUUGCAAAAACUGAUUAGAAUUAAUAAAUUCUACACUUU